UAUCUACUUUUGAUUUUCGAACAGCGACCCGUACCUAACCUAUCGGAUGAACUUUUAGUCAAAAAAACAAAAAAACGAAAAAAUGUCCGCGCUCAACCGCUCAACUUCCCCGUCGACCGGAUUUCAUUUCACUAUUAAGUUCGGACACUAUUGAUGGACGGCAAACAGUGGUGCGCUAUAAACAAACGUCACUCGUUCCGCUACUGUUGCCCCGCGCUCGGGGGAAAACGGACGAAUCGACGCGUACCGGUGACGCGACCGUACCCGUAGCCUUCCGUGUCCGGCGGCAUCCGUCAUGCGUUUUUCACCGUGUCGUUCGCGCGGUAACGUGUACGCAUUUUCGUGUCAGUGCUCUCCGGCGAUCGGCGGUGUCCGAUAAUGCUGGCCUUCAGUUUGUACGUUGUUGUUGUUGUUGACCACCCGAAAUUGCGUUUUCGCGUCCGC
Cinara cedri is the source of this 444-nucleotide non-coding RNA. The record is from the annotation of a GenBank genome assembly. NCBI's taxonomy places the organism in Eukaryota, Metazoa, Arthropoda, Insecta, Hemiptera, Aphididae.